AGUGAACGCUGGCGGCAGGCCUAACACAUGCAAGUCGAGCGGAUGAACGGAGCUUGCUCCUGGAUGCAGCGCGGGACGGGGACGGGAGGCCUAUGAAUCGGCCUCUGCGCAGUGGAUGACGUCCACAAAGGGGCGCUAAUACUACAUCCGCCCUGAACCUGCAGGUGGGGGAGCGUCGGACCUCACGCUCUCGCGUUUGCCUAAGUCGGAUUAGCUAGUUGGUGGGGUAAAGGCCCACCAAGGCGACGAUCCGUAACUGGUCUGAGAGGAUGAUCAGUCACACUGGAACUGAGACACGGUCCAGACUCCUACGGGAGGCAGCAGUGGGGAAUAUUGGACAAUGGGCGAAAGCCUGAUCCAGCCAUGCCGCGUGUGUGAAGAAGGUCUUCGGAUUGUAAAGCACUUUUAGUUGGGAAGAAGGGCAGUAAGCUAAUACCCUGCUGGUUUGACGUUACCCAAAGAAUAAGCACCGGCUAACUUCGUG
This 484-nucleotide ribosomal RNA is filed under the name uncultured bacterium. RNAcentral describes it as "partial 16S ribosomal RNA". It matches the Rfam family "Bacterial small subunit ribosomal RNA", at positions 29 to 507 of the family's 1533-position model. The record is from RNAcentral.